RNAcentral lists this long non-coding RNA (1588 nucleotides) under Homo sapiens (human). RNAcentral's name for it is "HSALNT0309612". The record is from RNAcentral. Lineage: Eukaryota; Metazoa; Chordata; Mammalia; Primates; Hominidae.
CAAGCUGGUACUUUCAAACAAUAGAAAUUGAUUGUCUCAAAGUUCUAGAAGCUGGAAGUCCAAGGUCAAGGAGCCAGCAGAGCUGUGCUCGUGCUGGAGGCACUGGGAGCAUCUGUUGCAGGCCUUUCUCUGGGUGCCUGGUGUCACUGGUCAUCCUUGGCACUUCUUUGCUGGCCAAGGAUGCAUCACUGUGACCCUCGUCUUUACAGGGCUUCACGCUGUGUCUGUCCACGCGCGGAUGUCGUCUUGUAAGGACACCAGCCACACCGAUGAGAGGCCAUCUUCCUCCACUUUGACCUCAUCUUAACUAAUUACAUCUGCAACUGUCCUAUUUCCAAAUAAGGUCACGUUCUAGGGUAGCGGAGAGUAGGACUUCAACACAGCUUUUUUUGAGGGAAGACGCAAUUCAACCCACAGCUCCCCCAAAUGCGUUAUUCACUCUGUUCUGUGCCCUGUGGCAUGACCCUGUGGCCUGCCCUCUUUGCUGUGCUCUGGUGCUUUAGCCUCGGUUAGAAUUCCUGCAGGAGUUUCCCAGGAGACCAGAAGGUUUAACCAGUGUCUGAUGUAGUCGGUUCUCAGGAGAAGUUUGAUAAAUGCAUGAACCUGCUUUGCCCUGACAAGUAGGACCUUCCAGCCUCACCCCAGAUCCACUGGUCCUCAGCCUGAUCAUGGACAUUGGAUGGCGUCCCCAUCUGCCUCCUGCCAGUGGAGCGGAGACACUCCUCUUGGACCCUGCUUCCUGCGCUGGCUGGAGAAGGAGGACCAACAGCCCUGGCACCAAGGGCACCUUUUCUGAGACUGGCUUUCCUGACACAAGGGGCACCGCUCUGCUUUUGUGUCUGCACCCUUCGGAGAUGGCCUCUGACCAUCCCUGGGCUUCUGGGGUGGUGCCUGGCCAGGCUUAGCACAGUGUCCCGUGUAAAGCCCAGACCCGCAGCAGUCCCCUUCCUGGCAAGAGUGAGGUCUGCUCUUUUGACCUUGACUGCACCUCCCUAAACAUAUCCUAGAGUCCCUCUCAGGGAGCACUUGGGGCUCCGUCUUCACUUAUUCAUGUCUUUUUAGGCGCCGCAGCACGCACCCCACAACACGGUCAGCACAACCUUGUCCCUUGGCCCUGUGGGACUCGUGGCCUGGACCCAUUGUCUGCUCACUUUCUUGGAAUGUGGCCUCAGGCCCUGGCUUCCUGGGCCCUUUUCUAAAGAGGACCCUUCCUUCGUCCCUCUAAGAUCCUCCCCUCACACUCCAUGGCUUUGGGCUGUCUUAUCAGCUGGGGCUGCCAUAACAAAGAACCACAGACCAAGGGUUAAACAACAGGCAUUCAUUUUCUCACGGUUCUGGAGGCUGGAAGUGCAUGACCAAGGUGCUAGCAAAUGUGGUUUCUGACGCAGACAAAAGUUGAAGAACCCUGAGGCACUGCUCUAGCCACGGUGUAAAAGCAUUGAGCCAGCUCAUAUGGAAGACCCAGUCAAGUCACCAGUAUCUGCAUUUGUGCUUGUUAACGUUCGUGGCUCAGGAGGCCUACCUUCUGAUUAAGUGUUCUCAUGUAAAAUCAUCCAAAUACUCCCUAUUAAUUUUAUUUUGAUAUAUG